UGGGGAAUAUUGCACAAUGGGCGCAAGCCUGAUGCAGCAACGCCGCGUGAACGAUGAAGGUCUUCGGAUCGUAAAGUUCUGUUGCAGGGGAAGAUAAUGACGGUACCCUGUGAGGAAGCCCCGGCUAACUACGUGCCAGCAGCCGCGGUAAUACGUAGGGGGCUAGCGUUAUCCGGAUUUACUGGGCGUAAAGGGUGAGUAGGUGGUCUUUCAAGUCGGUGGUUAAAGGCUACGGCUCAACCGUAGUUAGCCUCCGAAACUGGAAGACUUGAGUGCAGGAGAGGAAAGUGGAAUUCCCAGUGUAGCGGUGAAAUGCGUAGAUAUUGGGAGGAACACCAGUAGCGAAGGCGGCUUUCUGGACUGCAACUGACACUGAGGCACGAAAGCGUGGGUAGCAAACAGG
This 403-nucleotide ribosomal RNA is filed under the name Verrucomicrobiota bacterium. RNAcentral's name for it is "Verrucomicrobia bacterium partial 16S ribosomal RNA". It matches the Rfam family "Bacterial small subunit ribosomal RNA", at positions 355 to 776 of the family's 1533-position model. The record is from RNAcentral. Lineage: Bacteria; Pseudomonadati; Verrucomicrobiota.